UUUUGGUGCUUGCACUGAAUGAGAGUGGCGCACGGGUGCGUAACACGUAUGUAACCUACCCUUGUCAGGGGGAUAGCCUCUCGAAAGAGAGAUUAAGACCGCAUAACAUCAAUUUACAGCAUUGUAGUUUGAUCAAAUAUUUAUAGGACAAGGAUGGGCAUGCGGAACAUUAGCUGGUUGGUAAGGUAACGGCUUACCAAGGCUACGAUGUUUAGGGGAUCUGAGAGGAUGGCCCCCCACACUGGUACUGAGACACGGACCAGACUCCUACGGGAGGCAGCAGUAAGGAAUAUUGGUCAAUGGGCGGAAGCCUGAACCAGCCAUGCCGCGUGCAGGAAGACGGCCCUACGGGUUGUAAACUGCUUUUGCAGGGGAAUAAACCCCCGUACGUGUACGGGGCUGAAUGUANCCUGAGAAUAAGGAUCGGCUAACUCCGUGCCAGCAGCCGCGGUAAUACGGAGGAUCCAAGCGUUAUCCGGAUUUAUUGGGUUUAAAGGGUGCGUAGGUGGCUUAUUAAGUCAGGGGUGAAAGACGGUAGCUUAACUAUCGCAGUGCCUUUGAUACUGAUGAGCUUGAAUGAACUGGAGGUAAGCGGAAUGUGACAAGUAGCGGUGAAAUGCAUAGAUAUGUCACAGAACACCAAUUGCGAAGGCAGCUUACUACGGUUUAAUUGACACUGAGGCACGAAAGCGUGGGGAUCAAACAGGAUUAGAUACCCUGGUAGUCCACGCCCUAAACGAUGAAUACUCGAUGUUGGCGAUAUACGGUCAGCGUCUAAGCGAAAGCGUUAAGUAUUCCACCU
Molecule: ribosomal RNA, 802 nt
Filed under: uncultured Sphingobacteriia bacterium
Lineage: Bacteria; Pseudomonadati; Bacteroidota; Sphingobacteriia
Description: bacterial SSU rRNA
Rfam family: Bacterial small subunit ribosomal RNA
Source: RNAcentral